Molecule: transfer RNA, 73 nt
Filed under: Fundulus zebrinus (plains killifish)
Lineage: Eukaryota; Metazoa; Chordata; Actinopteri; Cyprinodontiformes; Fundulidae
Description: tRNA-Thr
Rfam family: tRNA
About the family: Transfer RNA (tRNA) molecules are approximately 80 nucleotides in length. Their secondary structure includes four short double-helical elements and three loops (D, anti-codon, and T loops). Further hydrogen bonds mediate the characteristic L-shaped molecular structure. tRNAs have two regions of fundamental functional importance: the anti-codon, which is responsible for specific mRNA codon recognition, and the 3' end, to which the tRNAs corresponding amino acid is attached (by aminoacyl-tRNA synthetases). tRNAs cope with the degeneracy of the genetic code in two manners: having more than one tRNA (with a specific anti-codon) for a particular amino acid; and 'wobble' base-pairing, i.e. permitting non-standard base-pairing at the 3rd anti-codon position.
Source: RNAcentral
GCAUUAGUAGCUCAGCACUCAGAGCUCCGGUCUUGUAAACCGGUUGUCGAGGGUUAAAAUCCCUCCUGAUGCU